AACGAACGCUGGCGGCAUGCUUAACACAUGCAAGUCGAACGAGACCUUCGGGUCUAGUGGCGCACGGGUGCGUACCGCGUGGGAACCUGCCCUUAGGUUAGGAAUAACUCCCUGAAAGGGGUGCUAAUAACGCAUAAUGUCUUCGGACCAAAGAUUUAUCGCCUUUGGAUGGGCCCGCGUUGGUUUAGCCAGUUGGUAGGGUAAAAGCCUACCAUGGCGACGUUCCAUAGCUGGUCGGUGAGGAUGAUCAGCCGCACUGGGACUGAGACACGGCCCAGACUGCGACGGGGGGCAGCAGAGGGGAAUAUUGGACGAGGGACGAAAGCCUGGUCCAGCAGUGCCGCGUGAGUGAGGAAGGCCUUAGGAUUGUAAAGCUCUUUUACCCGGAAUGAUAAUGACGGUACCGGGAGAAUAAGCACCGGCUAACUCCGUG
This 433-nucleotide ribosomal RNA is filed under the name uncultured bacterium. RNAcentral's name for it is "partial 16S ribosomal RNA". It matches the Rfam family "Bacterial small subunit ribosomal RNA", at positions 29 to 507 of the family's 1533-position model. The record is from RNAcentral.